This 539-nucleotide ribosomal RNA is filed under the name uncultured Lactobacillus sp. RNAcentral's name for it is "bacterial SSU rRNA". It matches the Rfam family "Bacterial small subunit ribosomal RNA", at positions 505 to 1042 of the family's 1533-position model. The record is from RNAcentral. Lineage: Bacteria; Bacillati; Bacillota; Bacilli; Lactobacillales; Lactobacillaceae.
GUGCCAGCCGCCGCGGUAAUACGUAGGUGGCAAGCGUUGUCCGGAUUUAUUGGGCGUAAAGCGAGCGCAGGCGGUUCUUUAAGUCUGAUGUGAAAGCCCCCGGCUCAACCGGGGAGGGUCAUUGGAAACUGGGGAACUUGAGUGCAGAAGAGGAGAGUGGAAUUCCAUGUGUAGCGGUGAAAUUCGUAGAUAUAUGGAAGAACACCAGUGGCGAAAGCGGCUCUCUGGUCUGUAACUGACGCUGAGGUUCGAAAGCGUGGGUAGCAAACAGGAUUAGAUACCCUGGUAGUCCACGCUGUAAACGAUGAAUGCUAAGUGUUGGAGGGUUUCCGCCCUUCAGUGCCGCAGCAAACGCAUUAAGCAUUCCGCCUGGGGAGUACGACCGCAAGGUUGAAACUCAAAGGAAUUGACGGGGGCCCGCACAAGCGGUGGAGCAUGUGGUUUAAUUCGAGGCAACGCGAAGAACCUUACCAGGUCUUGACAUCUUCUGAUAACCUAAGAGAUUAGGUGUUCCCUUCGGGGACAGAAUGACAGGUGGU